This is a small nuclear RNA of Dromiciops gliroides (monito del monte), 105 nucleotides long. The record is from RefSeq and is a predicted model, not a curated record. NCBI's taxonomy places the organism in Eukaryota, Metazoa, Chordata, Mammalia, Microbiotheria, Microbiotheriidae.
GCUGCCUUUGUCACUGCAUAUACUAAAAUUAGAAUGAUAUAGAGAAGAUUAGUAUGGCCCCUGAGAAAGGAUGACAUGUAAAUUUGUGAAGCAUCCCAUAUUUUA